UCACUGCAGAGGAGUCCCACAAUAGGACGAAACGGUCGUCCAGUAC
This 46-nucleotide non-coding RNA is filed under the name Schistosoma haematobium. Lineage: Eukaryota; Metazoa; Platyhelminthes; Trematoda; Strigeidida; Schistosomatidae. The record is from RNAcentral.